CAAAGGGGACUGGACGCAGAGCAUAUAAACAUAUGUACAAUCUUUUCUCCCCCGCUCUCCUCAUUUUCUUCCUGUAACCUUCCUGUCGCAAAGCUACAGACUCCGGAAAGUCCUCACCAUCUACAGAACUCCCGUGAAUCUCUCCUAAACAUUAUUGCGCCUAAAGAGGCCGAGGAUAACCAUGGAAAAUCCGACAGGGAAGAUCAGCUUUGGAAAGAACAGGAAAGGCGAUGGAGUUAGUAGCAGGAGAGGGGAUUUGCAGCGAGGAAUGGAUGAGAUUUAUUAGCGAAGGGAGAAAAUAAAGGAUCCUGCAAACCCUACGUAUUAUGACGCUGGUUUGGAGGUGGGUUUUUGUUUUUUUGCGAGGUUGGGGAGAGGAACGUGGCUCAUUUUGUGGCAUUCCUGGUGAUCUGGUCCACACGCGCCCUUUAACCUCUCAGGGUGUGGGCUUGGGGGGGGGGGAGAUCCUUCCUUCUCUGCCUUGUUAAUGCGUGGAUAUAUAAUCAUUUAGCUCAUACUGUUUCUUAUCCAGCAUCAAUAUGUUGUUCCCUUCACAUGAAACUCACACGCGCAGUUUGUGUAAAUCUGUAAUAAAUAAUAUUUUAAUGUUAAAGGGAAGUGUAUAGUAAUCAAAAUCUUUAGGGGCAGGAUGGAAUGGAAACUGAGAAGGCUUUGACAGUAAACAAUCCAGCGCUCAUUCCUCUGCCUCAUACGACUAAUAAGAGACUCCGGGUGCUUCACGACGCUACAUUUUUUAGGAAGUGGUUUGACAACAAAAGCAGCAGCAACGAAAUCCCGGAGGAGAAGCAGGUCGGGUAGCGAGGCCAGGUGGUCAAAGCUGGAACAGGUAAGGUGUAGCUGCUGUCUUAGUGGAGCCCAAAGUAGGAUCUGCAGACAAGCGUGGCAUUUAUUGUUCUCUUCCUGGUCAUCUGCUGUGUGUGCCUGUGGAAUCCUGACAAGGCAGCCCAAUAUAUUUUGCUGCCUGAGAAGAAAUAGCAAAUUGUACCUUGCCACCUUCAAGUCAAGUUACAUGGUAACCAAAUCUGGUCAAGUUAUUUGGAUACCUGAGGCAGACAAUCUCACAAGUUCCUCUACCCCACCCACAUGUGACACACUCUUUCUCCUGUUGACUUCCAGAAACCUUGCACCAGGUCUGCAGGACGUCUGAUUCGCUUCUGGAAAGCUACUAGUUACUUGCAGGUUGGCAUCCUACAUGGCUUACUCUUCUGGUGCAUUGAAAGCAACCAUUGACCACACUUCAUUAUGGCUGUGAUGUAACCAAUGAAGCAAACCAUGCAUAUUGCAUUGUAAAAGAGAAUGGAACAUGUGCAAAAUGUUGCAGUGUGAAAUGUUCCUAUUCAGAACUCUGGUCUUUCAGGCAUACUCUUCUCCAUCAUACAGCUUUCCAUUCCUGCUCUCUCCCAACUUUUUAUCCCCAUCCCAACCGUCAGCGUUCCAUGGC
Podarcis lilfordi (Lilford's wall lizard) is the source of this 1462-nucleotide non-coding RNA. NCBI's taxonomy places the organism in Eukaryota, Metazoa, Chordata, Lepidosauria, Squamata, Lacertidae. The record is from the annotation of a GenBank genome assembly.